GCCGCGGUGGCGGAACUGGUAGACGCGCAGCUCUCAAAAAGCUGUGAAGUUCACUCUUCAUGAGAGUUCGAUUCUCUCCCGCGGCA
RNAcentral lists this transfer RNA (86 nucleotides) under Candidatus Gottesmanbacteria bacterium. RNAcentral's name for it is "tRNA-Leu". It matches the Rfam family "tRNA". From Rfam's summary of the family: Transfer RNA (tRNA) molecules are approximately 80 nucleotides in length. Lineage: Bacteria; Candidatus Gottesmaniibacteriota. The record is from RNAcentral.